UAACAUUCACAUUUAUCAGAAGUGUUUCUUUAUCAAAGAGCAGCAUAUUAUAAUGAUUUCUGGAGGAUCAUAUUACGCUAAAAACUGAAGUAAUGAUUCUGAAAAAUCAGCUUUGAUCAUAGCAAUCAACUGAACCUUUGCAAAAAACCCGCCCUCCUCAAAUACUGUUGCUAUGUCUGACAACCCAUGCUGCUCUCACAGUACACACCUUGUUCUCACACAGCGAAAAAUACAUCGUGGACCAAAGAGGAAACUGACAACACACUGACAGAAGAAGACCGAGAAGGUCACUUCUGGUAUGAAACAAGUUUUCAGCUUUCAAAUUUGGUCCCCUUUUUUUUUCUUUUUUUUUUUAAAGAAAUUCAAACAAUAAAUAGCAUUUUGUGCUGUUUUAAUGCAUUACAGAUCACUGUAGUGCCUCAGUUCAAGCAACACACAUGAACCGAUUGAUUCAUAUUUAAUUGAAGAACAAAAUAAAAAAUGUCAAGUCUUUAUACAACAUUUUUCAAGUUUAAGUCCACCGAAGUUAAUCUACUCUCCUGUCUACCGUAUUUUCUGCACCAUAAGGUGCACCGGAUUAUAAGGCGCAGUCUCAAAACUAUUCAUCAAAGUCCUCAUCUUCUGUGUCUGAAUUGAACAGCUGGGCAACAGCUUUUGAACAGCUUAAUUCAUCAAACAUGCCGGGUUCCCUCUCAUCAUGGUUGAUCACUGCCAGCAUACGUAGUGUACGUAUUACGUCCCUGUGUCAGCGGGAAAUGGUCUGACAGUCAGCCUCGCGUGUGGAGACUUCAGAAGAUGCCAGACCUCACAAAGAUUUCAGAUGAUGGAAACUAUAGAUGAACAUGCAAAGCUGCUAAAUAAUCCUUAUAUUGUAAUCUUUGCCCUAAAAGGUAAGUUUGCAGGCUGAUUUAAGGUGUGCUCCUACAUUUUCUGCUUGUACUCCUAUGUAUUUAUGAUACAAAUGUAAAUGACUGUAAAUGAACAUAAAAAGCUGUUGCAUGCCUUUGUCAUAAGCACUCGCCUGUUAGCAAUGUUAAUUUUAUUUAACAAUGUUAUUACUGAGAUCAUUAAAAAAAGUAAUUGUGACGAGUGGGGUGGGGCCGAGAGCCUUGGGAACGGAGUGAGGCCGGUGGAGUGAUUAGGAAAUGAGUAAGGAUGAGUAUCGAAAACCGGUUCCAUUUUAGAACCGGUUCCAAAUUUCCAAGA
This is a long non-coding RNA of Carassius carassius (crucian carp), 1206 nucleotides long. RefSeq lists it as uncharacterized. The transcript is spliced from 3 exons. The record is from RefSeq and is a predicted model, not a curated record. Lineage: Eukaryota; Metazoa; Chordata; Actinopteri; Cypriniformes; Cyprinidae.